AGUUGUUUUUGCGACGAUGUGCAGUUGUUGGUAUUUUUCAAAGUCACAGCUGCCGCGUGGAAUACAAAUGCAAUGCCGUCAAAAACCAAUAACAACAACAACAUCAACAACUUCGUCGUCAUUUUGCAGCGAGCGGAUGAUCACGUGAGCGAUUCAUGUUAAGGUAUUAGUCACUGUUACGCAAAGAGCACAUGUUUGGGGUUGAGGGUUGAAAAGUGCAUGUACACACCAAUACAGCUGUCGUUGCUGUCGACAGGAUAUUCGGCCAGCCAGGAUAUUUUGCCUUCAGCAGCAGGUCGUGCGGUCGUCGACAGUUCAACUUCAGCUUGCUGUGCCACUGCAACAUUCAGUCAGUUUAACACUUUGUGGCGCCGUGUGCGGCUGUAAAAAUUUCGUCUAUGUUAGUUAGUUCACUUUCAAAACGGCAACGUGCGGUUAUUUUCAAAACUUAGAAGAGAAAUUUUGUAUUUAUUUUUGGCAAAGCAAUACAGAAAUAAAGUUUACAUUUUGAAAUAUAA
Bactrocera latifrons is the source of this 518-nucleotide long non-coding RNA. RefSeq lists it as uncharacterized. The record is from RefSeq and is a predicted model, not a curated record. The transcript is spliced from 4 exons. Lineage: Eukaryota; Metazoa; Arthropoda; Insecta; Diptera; Tephritidae.